GACGAACGCUGGCGGCGUGCUUAACAUAUGCAAGUCGAACGGAAAGGCCCUGCUUUUGUGGGGUGCUCGAGUGGCGAACGGGUGAGUAACACGUGAGUAACCUGCCCUUGACUUUGGGAUAACUUCAGGAAACUGGGGCUAAUACCGGAUAGGAGCUCCUGCUGCAUGGUGGGGGUUGGAAAGUUUCGGCGGUUGGGGAUAGACUCGCGGCUUAUCAGCUUGUUGGUGGGGUAGUGGCUUACCAAGGCUUUGACGGGUAGCCGGCCUGAGAGGGUGACCGGCCACAUUGGGACUGAGAUACGGCCCAGACUCCUACGGGAGGCAGCAGUGGGGAAUAUUGCACAAUGGGCGGAAGCCUGAUGCAGCAACGCCGCGUGCGGGAUGACGGCCUUCGGGUUGUAAACCGCUUUCGCCUGUGACGAAGCGUGAGUGACGGUAAUGGGUAAAGAAGCACCGGCUAACUACGUG
RNAcentral lists this ribosomal RNA (468 nucleotides) under uncultured bacterium. Its description in RNAcentral is "partial 16S ribosomal RNA". It matches the Rfam family "Bacterial small subunit ribosomal RNA", at positions 28 to 507 of the family's 1533-position model. The record is from RNAcentral.